This is a long non-coding RNA of Drosophila kikkawai, 232 nucleotides long. RefSeq lists it as uncharacterized. NCBI's taxonomy places the organism in Eukaryota, Metazoa, Arthropoda, Insecta, Diptera, Drosophilidae. The record is from RefSeq and is a predicted model, not a curated record.
GAAAUUUUCAAUUCAAUCCAAGAAAUUAGUUCAAAAUCGACAUGAAGACCUAUUGUAUUGCCUUGUUCGUAAUGCUCGGCAUUAUAUAUUGGUUCCCAACAGGCGGCUUUUUUACGCCAGAACCCCGAUAUAGCCGUAAUCGUUAGAAAAAAUUGUAUAUAAACUUUUUUAAAAUCAUUAAAAUUGUAAAAAAUCAAGCAAUAAUAAAACUUAUAUUAUUUUUGGCUUAUUA